RNAcentral lists this transfer RNA (89 nucleotides) under Streptomyces sulfonofaciens. RNAcentral's name for it is "tRNA-Pro". The record is from RNAcentral. Lineage: Bacteria; Bacillati; Actinomycetota; Actinomycetes; Kitasatosporales; Streptomycetaceae.
CGGCGGGCUCGGCUGGCGGGCCGCGGUGCUCGGGGCACCGGCCGGGGCGCAGUCCUGGCCGGCCGCGUUCCCCCUCUGGCCCGCGGCCC